GCCGAGAUGAUCCAAUGGUAGAGGUACUACGUGGCCACGCCCGAGCAAGACUUUUGUUCGGGAGAGAGUAGUAGGUAUUGCAGGUUCGAUUCCUGCUCUCGGCACCA
RNAcentral lists this transfer RNA (107 nucleotides) under Caudoviricetes sp. Its description in RNAcentral is "tRNA-OTHER". It matches the Rfam family "tRNA". From Rfam's summary of the family: Transfer RNA (tRNA) molecules are approximately 80 nucleotides in length. Their secondary structure includes four short double-helical elements and three loops (D, anti-codon, and T loops). The record is from RNAcentral. Lineage: Duplodnaviria; Heunggongvirae; Uroviricota; Caudoviricetes.